This 483-nucleotide ribosomal RNA is filed under the name uncultured bacterium. RNAcentral describes it as "partial 16S ribosomal RNA". It matches the Rfam family "Bacterial small subunit ribosomal RNA", at positions 29 to 507 of the family's 1533-position model. The record is from RNAcentral.
AUUGAACGCUGGCGGCAUGCUUUACACAUGCAAGUCGAACGGCAGCGCGGGCUUCGGCCUGGCGGCGAGUGGCGAACGGGUGAGUAAUACAUCGGAACGUGCCCAGUAGUGGGGGAUAGCUCGGCGAAAGCCGGAUUAAUACCGCAUACGACCUGAGGGUGAAAGCGGGGGAUCUUCGGACCUCGCGCUAUUGGAGCGGCCGAUGGCAGAUAGCUAGUUGGUGGGGUAAAGGCCUACCAAGGCGACGAUCUGUAGCUGGUCUGAGAGGACGACCAGCCACACUGGGACUGAGACACGGCCCAGACUCCUACGGGAGGCAGCAGUGGGGAAUUUUGGACAAUGGGCGAAAGCCUGAUCCAGCAAUGCCGCGUGUGUGAUGAAGGCCUUCGGGUUGUAAAGCACUUUUGGCGGGAACGAAAAGGACUGUGCCAAUACCACGGUUCGAUGACGGUACCCGCGGAAUAAGCACCGGCUAACUACGUG